Molecule: ribosomal RNA, 253 nt
Filed under: uncultured bacterium
Lineage: Bacteria
Description: partial 16S ribosomal RNA
Rfam family: Bacterial small subunit ribosomal RNA
Source: RNAcentral
UACGUAGGGUGCAAGCGUUAAUCGGAAUUACUGGGCGUAAAGCGUGCGCAGGCGGUUGUGCAAGACAGAUGUGAAAUCCCCGGGCUCAACCUGGGAACUGCCUUUGUGACUGCAUAGCUAGAGUACGGUAGAGGGGGAUGGAAUUCCGCGUGUAGCAGUGAAAUGCGUAGAUAUGCGGAGGAACACCGAUGGCGAAGGCAAUCCCCUGGACCUGUACUGACGCUCAUGCACGAAAGCGUGGGGAGCAAACAGG